AACAUCAUCACUAGAUGGCGCUAUAUUACAAGAGUAUACACCAGAGCACAAACACGAAGAUCUUUUGAAAUUUAGGUCAUAUUUUUCUGACUUUUUUUGACUAAGAAGAAAGCAAAGUGGAUCUAACUAGCACACGGGGAAAAUCUGAAAGGCCCAGAGGCACAACUACAAGACAAGAGGACAUGAGAAACUGCAGACUGAGAAACUGAUGUCUUUCAGGUUCAGUGAGCUGCUACCGUUAUGGCCUGAUGUAUUGGUUUGAAUGGCUGGAGCUCAUGCAGAUCCGGAUGUGCUUCUGGUCGGCUCUGAUCUCCACUGCUCCCGCUAGGCCUCUUUUACAGCAACAGGAAAUGCUGCCUGCUAUGGGGUCACGACCCACUCAUUUUGACAUAUGCGUCAAGUGCAGCCCACCCGACCGGCAUACGAGGUUUCCGGUUCGUGCAAGGUGUGGACUGAUAGUUUGGGAAGGAAACGGAGGGCAGACGGAGCUGAGACAGCGAGGCAGAAUAGGAGAUGGAAAAGGUCCUUAAUCCCCAUACUGAACACCUUUGGGAGGAACAGCGAGGCAGAUCCCAUGACCAGG
Danio rerio (zebrafish) is the source of this 583-nucleotide non-coding RNA. NCBI's taxonomy places the organism in Eukaryota, Metazoa, Chordata, Actinopteri, Cypriniformes, Danionidae. The record is from RefSeq and is a predicted model, not a curated record.